This is a small nucleolar RNA of Dioscorea cayenensis subsp. rotundata (Guinea yam), 107 nucleotides long. The record is from RefSeq and is a predicted model, not a curated record. NCBI's taxonomy places the organism in Eukaryota, Viridiplantae, Streptophyta, Magnoliopsida, Dioscoreales, Dioscoreaceae.
AAACCAUGAUGAAGACAAUUGCGUAGGAUAUGUUUGAAUCUUUUAUGUGCCUCAAAGAGUAUUUAGAAAUCCCCCUGCCUGAAAGAUGAAAUCUCUUGCCUUAGUCU